Molecule: ribosomal RNA, 2942 nt
Filed under: Priestia megaterium
Lineage: Bacteria; Bacillati; Bacillota; Bacilli; Caryophanales; Bacillaceae
Description: Bacillus megaterium 23S ribosomal RNA
Rfam family: Bacterial large subunit ribosomal RNA
Source: RNAcentral
AUGGUUAAGUUAGAAAGGGCGCACGGUGAAUGCCUUGGCACUAGGAGCCGAUGAAGGACGGGACUAACACCGAUAUGCUUCGGGGAGCUGUAAGUGAGCUUUGAUCCGGAGAUUUCCGAAUGGGGAAACCCACUGUUCGUAAUGGAACAGUAUCUUUAUCUGAAUACAUAGGAUAUUGAAGGCAGACCCGGGGAACUGAAACAUCUAAGUACCCGGAGGAAGAGAAAGCAAAUGCGAUUUCCUGAGUAGCGGCGAGCGAAACGGAAUUAGCCCAAACCAAGAGGCUUGCCUCUUGGGGUUGUAGGACACUCUGUACGGAGUUACAAAGGAACGAAGUAAAUGAAGCGACCUGGAAAGGUCCGUCGAAGAAGGUAACAACCCUGUAGUUGAAACUUCGUUCCCUCUUGAGUGGAUCCUGAGUACGGCGGAACACGUGAAAUUCCGUCGGAAGCUGGGAGGACCAUCUCCCAAGGCUAAAUACUACCUAGUGACCGAUAGUGAACCAGUACCGUGAGGGAAAGGUGAAAAGCACCCCGGAAGGGGAGUGAAAGAGAUCCUGAAACCGUGUGCCUACAAGUAGUCAGAGCCCGUUAACGGGUGAUGGCGUGCCUUUCGUAGAAUGAACCGGCGAGUUACGAUCCCAUGCAAGCUUAAGCUGAUAAGGCGGAGCCGUAGCGAAAGCGAGUCUGAAUAGGGCGUUUAGUAUGUGGUUGUAGACCCGAAACCAGGUGAUCUACCCAUGUCCAGGGUGAAGUUCAGGUAACACUGAAUGGAGGCCCGAACCCACGCACGUUGAAAAGUGCGGGGAUGAGGUGUGGGUAGCGGAGAAAUUCCAAUCGAACCUGGAGAUAGCUGGUUCUCUCCGAAAUAGCUUUAGGGCUAGCCUCAUGUUGUGAGAGUCUUGGAGGUAGAGCACUGAUUGGACUAGGGGCCCCCAACGGGUUACCGAAUUCAGUCAAACUCCGAAUGCCAAAGACUUAUCCAUGGGAGUCAGACUGCGAGUGAUAAGAUCCGUAGUCAAAAGGGAAACAGCCCAGACCACCAGCUAAGGUCCCCAAGUAUACGUUAAGUGGAAAAGGAUGUGGAGUUGCUUAGACAACCAGGAUGUUGGCUUAGAAGCGUACCACCAUUUAAAGAGUGCGUAAUAGCUCACUGGUCGAGUGACUCUGCGCCGAAAAUGUACCGGGGCUAAACGUAUCACCGAAGCUGUGGAUUGACAUCUUUGAUGUCAGUGGUAGGAGAGCGUUCUAAGUGCUGUGAAGUCAGACCGUAAGGACUGGUGGAGCGCUUAGAAGUGAGAAUGCCGGUAUGAGUAGCGAAAGACAAGUGAGAAUCUUGUCCACCGAAUGCCUAAGGUUUCCUGAGGAAGGCUCGUCCGCUCAGGGUUAGUCGGGACCUAAGCCGAGGCUGAAAAGCGUAGGCGAUGGCCAACAGGUUGAUAUUCCUGUACCACCUCCCCGCCGUUUGAGUAAUGGGGGGACGCAGUAGGAUAGGGUAAGCGCGGCCGCUGGAUAUGCGCGUUCAAGCAGUUAGGCUGAUGAGUAGGCAAAUCCGCUCAUCAUAAAGGCUGAGCUGUGAUGACGAGGGAAUUAUAGUACCGAAGUUCCUGAUUCCACACUGCCAAGAAAAGCCUCUAGCGAGGCGGGAGGUGCCCGUACCGCAAACCGACACAGGUAGGCGAGGAGAGAAUCCUAAGGUGAUCGAGAGAACUCUCGUUAAGGAACUCGGCAAAAUGACCCCGUAACUUCGGGAGAAGGGGUGCUCUGGUAGGGUGUAUAGCCCGAGAGAGCCGCAGUGAAUAGGCCCAGGCGACUGUUUAGCAAAAACACAGGUCUCUGCGAAGCCGCAAGGCGAAGUAUAGGGGCUGACGCCUGCCCGGUGCUGGAAGGUUAAGAGGAGGGGUUAUCCUUUGGGAGAAGCUCUGAAUCGAAGCCCCAGUAAACGGCGGCCGUAACUAUAACGGUCCUAAGGUAGCGAAAUUCCUUGUCGGGUAAGUUCCGACCCGCACGAAAGGCGUAACGAUCUGGGCACUGUCUCAACGAGAGACUCGGUGAAAUUAUAGUACCUGUGAAGAUGCAGGUUACCCGCGACAGGACGGAAAGACCCCGUGGAGCUUUACUGUAGCCUGAUAUUGAAUUUUGGUACAGCUUGUACAGGAUAGGUAGGAGCCUGAGAAGCCGGAGCGCUAGCUUCGGUGGAGGCGUCGGUGGGAUACUACCCUGGCUGUAUUGAAAUUCUAACCCGCGGCCCUGAUCGGGCCGGGAGACAGUGUCAGGUGGGCAGUUUGACUGGGGCGGUCGCCUCCUAAAAUGUAACGGAGGCGCCCAAAGGUUCCCUCAGAAUGGUUGGAAAUCAUUCGUAGAGUGUAAAGGCACAAGGGAGCUUGACUGCGAGACCUACAAGUCGAGCAGGGACGAAAGUCGGGCUUAGUGAUCCGGUGGUUCCGCAUGGAAGGGCCAUCGCUCAACGGAUAAAAGCUACCCCGGGGAUAACAGGCUUAUCUCCCCCAAGAGUCCACAUCGACGGGGAGGUUUGGCACCUCGAUGUCGGCUCAUCGCAUCCUGGGGCUGUAGUCGGUCCCAAGGGUUGGGCUGUUCGCCCAUUAAAGCGGUACGCGAGCUGGGUUCAGAACGUCGUGAGACAGUUCGGUCCCUAUCCGUCGUGGGCGUAGGAAAUUUGAGAGGAGCUGUCCUUAGUACGAGAGGACCGGGAUGGACACACCGCUGGUGUACCAGUUGUCUUGCCAAAGGCAUCGCUGGGUAGCUAUGUGUGGACGGGAUAAGUGCUGAAAGCAUCUAAGCAUGAAGCCCCCCUCAAGAUGAGAUUUCCCAUAGCGCAAGCUAGUAAGAUCCCUGAAAGAUGAUCAGGUUGAUAGGUCAGAGGUGGAAGCGUGGCGACAUGUGUAGCUGACUGAUACUAAUCGAUCGAGGACUUAACCAAAC